This 89-nucleotide non-coding RNA is filed under the name Pseudomonas sp. GV085. The record is from RNAcentral. Lineage: Bacteria; Pseudomonadati; Pseudomonadota; Gammaproteobacteria; Pseudomonadales; Pseudomonadaceae.
UGUAGGAGCGAGCCUGCUCGCGAUGGCGAUGUGUCAGGCAAUUCAAUGUCGACUGAUACGGCCUCAUCGCGAGCAGGCUCGCUCCUACA